AAUGGCUUGGCAGAGAUGUCACAGGUGGAGUGCAAAAGUUUGUCCAUUUUUACCAAUUUCUCAUCAAAGCUUAUACAUCAUAUGUAUGCGUUUCCAGUAUUUUUUUUUCAAAGAAAAAGAGUUCCCAUUAUUACCAUUCACAUGCCUAUUUUCCGGUGUUCAAGCUCAUUUUCUUUUUGUUUGGUUAUUGUGGCCAUCAAAGAGCUGGG
RNAcentral lists this unclassified non-coding RNA (209 nucleotides) under Hevea brasiliensis (rubber tree). Lineage: Eukaryota; Viridiplantae; Streptophyta; Magnoliopsida; Malpighiales; Euphorbiaceae. The record is from RNAcentral.